UUUCCGUAGGUGAACCUGCGGAAGGAUCAUUAACACUUUGAAAGUAUCCAAAUAACCUUUGGAUCAACCAACUUUUGUACGAACGUGGUAUCUUUUCCGGUUCUAUGGCGCAACGUGCGAACUAGCCGUUGGUCAUGGGGCUUGUCCCUGUUCCCAAUUUUUUUUGGAACUAUUCUGAACCCAACUGUCUGAUGUUUUUGUUCUCUCUCCCACUUGGAAGAGGAACAAACCAAAACAAACGCAAAACAACUCUUAACAACGGAUAUCUUGGCUCUC
RNAcentral lists this unclassified non-coding RNA (276 nucleotides) under plant metagenome. RNAcentral describes it as "partial contains small subunit ribosomal RNA, internal transcribed spacer 1, and 5.8S ribosomal RNA". The record is from RNAcentral.